AUGAAAGAACUGAUGUCAGACCUUGGCUUCCAAUAUACAAAAUUCGCGCCAAAACAACUGUUUGAGAAGCUACAAAUAUUGUUGGAAAUAUAUGACAAUCAGUCAAACAGGAAAUCAGUUAAAAUAUUUUUCCUUAUUUUUUUCCACAAUGUUGUCUGCGGGUUAAGCGCCGCUAUCUUCGCCCGACAAGCUAUAAUGGUCAAGGACUUGGACUAUCCAGAAAUGGCAAAGAUGGAUUUCUGUGAGGUAAUCGUCGAAAGUAUCAGGGAAGGAGCCAAGACAUGGCAGAAGCACAAGAUGUUGCCUCGGGAAGAAAAGAACAAAAAGCAUAUCAAUGGUUUGGCACAGGGACCAGUAAUCAUGUACCUUGACUCCCUGCUGCUGCCAACCGACACAAAAGAAAUGCGGAAGAUUGCAAAGACAAUAGACAAGACCUCAUUACCACGAGCAAACCAUCUCAAAGAGAGUGACCUAGCGAAAAUAGCUAGAGCAGACAUGAAAACGGACGGAAAAGCACGACCAGAUGACUAUGAAUUUGGCAAGAUACAGAUAGCAGGAGAACAUCGUAAAGAACAGCAACACCAGCACACAACCAAACUGUUACCACCUCCACCCAAACGCCGACGCGAACCACGUAUCGGCACCAGUGGAAGCACGAAACCAAACAAAAGCAUAAGCACAGGAUCAAAAGAAAGAUUCCAAAGGAUAAACAAAUUGUUGGAAAAAGUGCUCGAUGAAGCAGAACAGUUACCCGCAGUAACCACCAGGGCUAAACACCGGUGCAGCGAAAAAGAAGAGAUAUUGGAUGAAAAAAACAAGGACAAAGUCGUGCAACAAACAAUUGCCCUGAUGGAUUCUGUAGAACAACUCAGACAAUUUCAGGACAUAGUUUGCACAAGGUACCUCACAGACAACGCGACCCUGCAAACACUAGAGCAAGCAGAUCCAGCAGCAUCAAGUAGACUAGCCGAUACCAACCGCACGAAUGAAAUCGUAGCCACAACAGAACAGAGAGAAAGGAGAAAAAGAAAGAAAGAAGAAGAGGAUGAAGAGAGGAAGAGAAGAACAAAAUCAAGGGACGAUGAACUCCAACAGCACGAUAGUGUCAACAACCCCCAAAACAAGAAUGAAUGCAACAAACAAAGCAACCUCACAACAAACAGUGCUACAACAACAAUUACCCCAACACAAGCACAAGAUACGAUCGACGUUAGAACCAGUGAAGAGGUUCAGCUGGAGAAUAAUCAAGUCAGCAGUCCCGUCAACCAAAUGCAAGAGCCUGACCCACAAUCAACCACUAGCAUAACAAACGAUAAAGAAGAAGAAAACAUUGAAGAGAAGUGGACCACAAACUCAUAUUGUUUGAACUCCAGGUAUCACAAUCACUGCAAGACCAAGAGACGUCCCCAACAGACGAAGGAGUCACAGAACAGGAAGUUUGUGCACAAGUGA
Molecule: ribosomal RNA, 1452 nt
Filed under: Triticum aestivum (bread wheat)
Lineage: Eukaryota; Viridiplantae; Streptophyta; Magnoliopsida; Poales; Poaceae
Description: partial small subunit ribosomal RNA
Source: RNAcentral